Long non-coding RNA from Helianthus annuus (common sunflower), 531 nucleotides. RefSeq lists it as uncharacterized. Lineage: Eukaryota; Viridiplantae; Streptophyta; Magnoliopsida; Asterales; Asteraceae. The record is from RefSeq and is a predicted model, not a curated record. The transcript has 2 exons.
CCUUCACACACAAUAUCACACCUCCCUUUCCCUACCAUUUACUCACACUCUCUCAUCAUCACCAUCAUCUUCUUCUUAUUAUUAUUUUUAAGGGUUUGAAGAUUCACCCAUGGCCUAACAUGGUGGUUGUAGAAAUGAUGGUAUGGAGCCAAGGAUGACAUGUCUAUGGCAAUCGUCUGUCCAUUGGAACAUAGUGGACAGUCGACAUGCAUGCAUUGACAUGUCCUCUUUGGCUGCAUUCUUUUCUUUCUGCAUGUCAUGCUAGGCUGUUUAUGCUUAAAAUGGAUCUGUUAGUCACUUCCGAACAGUGGAUCAAGAUUAUUUUUCCAGGAUGUGCAUCAAAUGGACUGAACCCGGUUUUUUUUUCUAAAAAAAAAAAAAUCAAAAGUCAAAACUAAAGACUGGACCGAUAUAGGGUGAUUCGGUCUCUGACUUUUUAGGUUUUGCCAUGACCGAAUAUGAAUUUUGUAUGCUAAGAUGUUUCAUACAUUCUCAAUACCAUACCAAAAAAAUAUAGCUAUAAUGUAUCCA